GCUUGUUUGUCUUAUUUACAUUUGUGUUGUGAGUGGGCAUUAGAAUAAUUCCAUGGCAUUUCAGCAGAAAACUCAGGGACCAAGAUUAAGGAAAUUAAUAGUUACCUGACUUAGGGAAAAUAUUUUGAAAAAUAUUUUGAAAAUUAUAUCAUUGUGUGGUGGUUUUACUGUGCUGGGCAGCUAAACCCCACAACCGCUCUCUCACUCCCCCUCUUUUAGAUGAGGAGGGGGAGAAGUAAAGCAAAGAACAACUCACGGGUUGAGAUAAGGAUAAUUUAAUUAAAGGGAAAUAAUAAUAAUUAAAUAAAGAUUAUUAUGAACUAAACAAUUUAACUAAAGGGAAAUAAAAAGGGAAAGGGGAAAAGGGAAAAGAGAGGGGGAAAGGGAAAAAAUAAAAAGAAGGGAGGAAAACAAACAAAUAAAAUAAAUGAAGGCUAUAUGGAAGUGCAGAGGAAAGAAAUUACUCUCUACUUCCCACAAAUGAGCGAUGAUUGACCACAUCCUUGAAGCAGGGCCUCAAUGCACAUAGCCAGUGUUCGAGAGGAGGACCGACAUUUUCCCAACGAGAGCCCACCCCUCCCCUCUUCCACCUUUUAUUGCUGAGUGUGACAUCACAUGGUAUGGAAUAUCCCUUUGAUUGGUUUAGGUCAGCUGCCCUAGUGAUCUUUCUCUCCUCACUUUUUGCCCACCCCCUAGGAGGGUUAGAGAGAGGCCCGAUGCUGUGUCACUGCUGCUCAGCAGUAAACACAACACUGGUGUGAUAACACUGCUGUUCCAGCUACAAGUGCAGAGUACGGCACUGUAUGGGCUGCUGCCGGGAAAGUUAACAUUCCAGCCAGACCCAGUACACAUUGGGCAAUGUUAAAAAAGAUUUCCUUGCAAUUUUUGGCAACAUCUUGCCAGUCUCGUUGCACUGAGUAGAAUGGAAUGACCACUUUUUUGUGCACUAAAAUGUCUAAGCUAGCAUUAGGGAGCCAAUCUAUUGGGGGGACAAGGCAGUACACUUUUUCCCAGUUCUUCACUCUUCCUUUUUGCUUCUCCUCCAGCUUCUACUCCAGGCUAGUUACAAAAACUCUUCAAAACUUGUAUCCUUGUUCAAAGCAUCAUGUUCCUAUCAUUAUGUCUCCUGAAUGCUUUUCAGGUGCUGUUUAAGGUUAAAAUUUAAGAAUGCCAUCAAGAAAUUUAUCCUGAGGCACGAUAGUUAUGAGUGGCAUGGAGUGUGGGAGGAUAUGAGUAGGCACCUAUAACAGUGGCCAUCUUCUGUGCUUUGGAACUUAACUCCUGAACAGUGCAGAAUCCUAAUAAAUAAAUAAAUAAAUGAAAUGGUAAAAUGCUU
RNAcentral lists this long non-coding RNA (1336 nucleotides) under Anas platyrhynchos platyrhynchos (common mallard). Its description in RNAcentral is "lncRNA (ENSAPLG00000016815.1)". Lineage: Eukaryota; Metazoa; Chordata; Aves; Anseriformes; Anatidae. The record is from RNAcentral.